CUGAGCCGCUGCAGUUCAUCAGUCAGGAGGCGACCACCGUGGGGGAGGGUGAACGUGGUGAAUACCGAGUAUAUCAGUGCAAAGAGAUGAACCUGAUAAUAAUAAGUGCCUCCCAACCCUUCUGAAGAUAUCUAGGGGCGUCAUAACGGUCAGAACUCCCACUGCUCCUCAGACGAGGCGCUGCGCUGCAGACUGCCAGACACAUCCGCUGCAAGCAGUGAUGAGACAUCGAGCUGGAGAGAGAAGAUACGAAAGUGGCCAACACGUCCCAGAAAGGCGUUCACGUUGUUCCUGACUCCUAAGGAAGGCACCCAGCGACGGCGCUAAGGGGGGGCUUAUUAGAGAGGUAUCAGUUCCCUCUUCACAAAUCUCCUUAGCUCCCGCUUCAUCCCCCCCCCCCCCCCCAGUCAAUUUUAAAGCAAAUUGCUGCUAUUCCUCGGCACAACUUCAACUCCUCCUUGCUCUAAGAAAGCCACAUUCUAAAGCCUCCCAUAGAAAUAAUCCGAAAGCCGCCGCUGGUGAUCUCUAAAGGGAUGUCUGUCUCUUACAGCAAGCAUCAUCACUCAGCCUGAACACACUUGUUUUACAAAGCCUUUUCCUUUUCCUUUCAUUUAUUUUAGCUGAUUUACAUUUUUCAUCAAGCAUCAUUCAUUUAAGUCUCUCUCCUCCUCUUUCUGUAUGCAGAAUUUCUCAUAGUACCCUUACACUUAUUUUAGUGUUCCAAUAUGAUAUACCUUGUACAGUAACAUUACCAGUCUGUUGUUUGCAUGGGCAUAUCAUAAUAAUAUUAAUGAUACUACUACUACUACUACUACUACUACUACUAAUAAUAAUAAUAAUAAUAAUAAUAAUAAUAAUAAUAAUAAUAAUAACAUCAAAGAACUCGUUGUCUCAUCACAUAGAUGUUCAUGUCACUUCUGUAAUCCUCCGUGGUAUAGAUUACCUCUGUGAUAGUCAGCCUUUUUGAUCACCCCAAAUGACCUGUUGCAUGGCAGGAAUGAAUGCCUUGAUAUGAGGAGAUUAAUCUCCACAGGGAAGAGCCAGUCACCAUGAACCUCCUUUGAGCCACGAGUAUCAUUUACACUACCAUUGCCAGAAAAAACAAUCAAGAGUUGUGAACUUGGCACCUUCUUUGAGUCUGUCAGUAAUUCACAUGAUUAGGCAACUUCUUGGUUUUAAUGUCAUGUACUACACAAGUUACACCCCCCAUGACUUCUUCAAUGGCUUUACCAGUUGGGAGGCAGCAGCAUGACAUUGUUUUCUGAAGGCCACCAGCAGCCACACACCUUUGCAUUGCAGUUUUUAGUUAUUCAAUGCCUUAAUGAGGAUAUUACAAUUUGGGGGAAAAUUUAACAUUCAAGUUAUCUCUCCUUGGUGUUGCCACUUUAGUCAUUAAUCUUUAGUAAAGGUGAAUAUUCUGUGGAUGUCAUGAUGCUGAUUAGGUCAAAAGUGCUACUGAUGACAACACUGUCAUCUAACCGACAUAGUGGUCUACCUACCAAGUCAAUUUUAGGUGUCAGGUGUUCAGGGUAAGGUACUUGUAUCCCGUUCACUGAGUGGAGGUGCAACACCCGGCAUUUGAUUUCAGUGCACCCUCUGCCUCCCCAAGUGUUCUGUGUUUUGAGCAAUGAACAGCAUGACUCACUUCCAGCAGUGUAUGUUAGAAAAUUGCCCACCUGAAAUUGAACUUACAAAUUGACUGCACUGAAAAGGUUGAAUUAUUGGAAAAUGUAUAGUGACUUCAUUCUAGAAAUUUCAUUCAAACCAGACCAAUCAUUUUUUUGAAAAUUUUCAACCCUCCCCCCCCCCCCACACAAAAAAUGAAAUAAAUUGUCCUGAGAUUUUAAUUAGAUUUACUACCUAGUUUAUAAUACUAACCAUAGAAUCUCCACCAACAUCAGGGGGCGACCCCACCCUUUGCCAACCCUCAUGACACCCAUUGUUAAGCUUUCACUGGACAUGCUCAUCACAUCGCAGAGAUACUGCCAUGUUGAAUGGUCUUGUUAGGCAUAUUGUCAGCCUUUUCUGUGAACAUCUAAAUAUUCUACAAAACUGAAAUAUCUGGGACUUGUAAUGGUGCACACGUCACCACAGCCAGUUGCAGGGCCCUGUGGUUUGCAUGAAAUUAGUGACGAAUAAAAGAGGCGUUGCUGCUACUGGCCUUUAAAAGACAAUGUCAUGCCUCAGCCUCCCAAAUGGUGAAGCCUACUACUUUAGGAAGCCAUGGGGGUAUAACUUGUGUAUGAUGUCAAGACCAAGAAAAGUAAUAUGCACAUGUGGGAUGAGACAUAUUAGUGAACAUGGUUCAGAAGUUGCCAGCUGCCUCAUCAUGUGGAUUGCUGAUAGGCUCAGUGAAGGUGCCAGGUUCACAGCUUUGUCUGUUUUUGUUGCCAACAGUUGAGUUAAAUAAAAAAUAUAGCAUGUAUAUAUGAUACUCAUGGCUCUUACAGAGGUUCAUAGUGCUUGCUGUUCCAUGUGGAGAUUAAUCUAUUGUUUCUCUACAUUUCCAAUAGUAAAACUCGAUUUUAUCCUCAUAAUAAUCAGGAAAACUUAAAUGAGAAACAUUAGUUUUUAUUAUGUAUAUAAUCAUUUAUUUAGAACUAUAAAAUAUAAAAUUUUUACAUAAGAUUUUAAGGCACAAGUUUCAUGCACUAUAAAAAUAUCAACAACCGGGAGAAAUAUCUUUCAUAUUUUUAUAAACAAUCUUUACAAAACACUUAAAGUUCUGGUUGCUUUAUGCAGACUAACUUUAAUAUAAUCACAAAUUCAUCACAAUAUAUAAAUCUAAAUUCUCAUAAAUCUCUUAGUUAUGGGAAUGAUAACAUAUGGAAGUGUAUUCAAACCUUGUAACAAUAACAGGUUGCUAAUGUAUAAUGAGAAAGAGAGAGGGGGGGCUGGGGGGGGAGUAUAUAUCAUGUGCCUGGUGGGGGAGGGGGUAUCUGUGGGAUUUGUCAACUUACUGUGGAGACACAUCCUGUGGCAGAGAGAGAGAGAGAGAGAGAGAGAGAGAGAGAGAGAGAGAGAGAGACUGACUGACUGACUGACUGUUGAAGAAAUGAAUAGGAAAGGAUGGGAGAGAAUUCAGUACAGGUGAUUUGCAUUCCACAUACCACCGGAACUUUUAAUUCGUAAUUUUGUGAUGGAUUUCACAUAAAGGGUUGGUGUAUGAGUGUUUUUCAUCAACAGUAUCAUGCAUGUAAUGCUUUAAAUUUACUGAAGUAAAAAUUAUUAAUUUUAAUAACACAAAAGAACUUAGAAUAUAUUGUACUACCUUAAAAUAAAUCGGGGAAGGAAAAUUUUUAUAUUUUACUUCUAUACACAGCUAUCUCUUGAUUUACUUGAUUAAUAUAUGUUAGGAAGUGAAAUACUAAAGGAAAAACACAAGUCUUGGAGACUACGACUUGCAUGGGCAGAGAGAUCAAUGGCCUAUCCAAUAAGUGGGCAGGGUGGCAUCUGUUUUGUCUCAAAUACUAUUUGCAGGAUGCAUUUUGGAUACUUUUACUACUGUAAUGACAAUGAUCUAAUUAUCUAUUAAAGUAUGUAGAAAACUACAUAUAUUUAAUGAAUGUCAACCAUAAUCACCACUGACAGAAUUUUAUCAUCUAUGGGGUACAUGACCAUAGGGCUCUUAUUUAUUACUGUAUAAUGAUGUAAAUUUACUUAAAGAUAAAUCAUGAUAUAGACCCUUGGUUGUGCCAUUCAUUAUAUAUGCUAUGGAGUAUAGUAUUCUAGCAAUGGUGACUGAUUGAUAUUCAUGAAAUAUAAGUAGUUUUACACAUUAUCUUAUAAUGAGAAAUAUUUAUUAGUAAGUUUCUAUUACUGAGAUAGUAAAAAGAUCCAGCAAGUAGUAGUUGGAAACAAAUGAGGCCACCCUAGCUCAACUAAUGGACAGGUCGGCAAAAUCUACACAUCAAAGUUGGAAUCCCCAUAACGGAAAUUUUGUGCUUCCCCUUUUAACACGAUGUGAUCCCUGAGUGCGAUACACUGAAAGGAAAAAACAAGUGAUAGUUGUACAUAUGGGUAAAACCUAUGCAUUGUCAUUCCCUGAUUUGCUGCACCUUAAAAUAUUUUUAAUUCCCAUGUAAUGAAUAGGAAAAUUGACAGGGUAAUAUAAUACAUCUACAUACUAUUCAUAUAGGUAAAAAUAAAUAUACCACCCUCUUCAUUAAGUCCAUUACUUAAAAUUAUGAUUGUAAAGUUCUAGUCAGAUGUGGUACCUACACCCUUACU
Eriocheir sinensis (Chinese mitten crab) is the source of this 4230-nucleotide long non-coding RNA. RefSeq lists it as uncharacterized. The record is from RefSeq and is a predicted model, not a curated record. NCBI's taxonomy places the organism in Eukaryota, Metazoa, Arthropoda, Malacostraca, Decapoda, Varunidae. The transcript is spliced from 3 exons.